AAACCUGGGGAGGAGAAAGGAAAGAAAAUACAAGAUGGCAGCAAAAUAUAGAAAUAGGAAAUAGAUAGCACUUCAGAGGACAAAAAAGCGCUGCUGACUGAGAAGGAAUGAAAAAAGCAGUGGGUCUGCUGAGAAGGAAAGCUGUGAGAAGUUUGUGCUGUUAGUGCAAGGAUGCUUCCAGAAGGAGACUUUUACCAGGCAAUUGCUGAGGAAUCUGUGGAGACAGAGAGGGAAUGUCCUGUUCCACUUACGCCUCAUUUGUGCUUCCUGUCUACAAUGAAGAGUGGAUUUCAGACAUCUGAUCAGAACCCUCAUUUAUUUCAGAAUUGUGAAAUCUAAGAGAUAUAAUGCCUAUUACGGUCCUUUAUUUAAACAUUUAAUUCACCCAGUUGGUCUGGUUGCACGUGUAGAAGAUAAGUGGUUCUUUGGACAUAGUGGACAUGACCCUAGCUUAACAAACAAACUGCAAAUAAGCCUACAUUUUUCCUGCCAAACUCAAGGCGUGAGAGAAAGGCAUGUCUAGGUCCUUCUGAAUGGCAUCCCUGCCCACCCUGCCGUCGGGAGUAUCGGCUGGUCUCUCAUUUAUCGUCAUCUGCAAAUUUGCUGAGCUCCGUCAUCUCU
Long non-coding RNA from Aquila chrysaetos chrysaetos, 621 nucleotides. RefSeq lists it as uncharacterized. The transcript is spliced from 5 exons. Lineage: Eukaryota; Metazoa; Chordata; Aves; Accipitriformes; Accipitridae. The record is from RefSeq and is a predicted model, not a curated record.